AUUGAACGCUGGCGGCAGGCCUAACACAUGCAAGUCGAACGAGCGGUGGACGGGUGAGUAAUGUCUGGGAAUCUGCCCGAUGGAGGGGGAUAACUACUGGAAACGGUUGCUAAUACCGCAUACUAUCAGAUGUGCCCAUAUGGGAUUAGCUAGUUGGUGGGGUAACGGCUCACCAAGGCGACGAUCCCUAGCUGGUCUGAGAGGAUGAUCAGCCACACUGGGACUGAGACACGGCCCAGACUCCGACGGGAGGCAGCAGUGGGGAAUAUUGCACAAUGGGCGCAAGCCUGAUGCAGCCAUGCCGCGUGUAUGAAGAAGGCCUUAGGGUUGUAAAGUACUUUCAGCGGGGAGGCGUUACCCGCAGAAGAAGCACCGGCUAACUCCGUGCCAGCAGCCGCGGUAAGUC
RNAcentral lists this ribosomal RNA (406 nucleotides) under uncultured bacterium. Its description in RNAcentral is "partial 16S ribosomal RNA". It matches the Rfam family "Bacterial small subunit ribosomal RNA", at positions 30 to 526 of the family's 1533-position model. The record is from RNAcentral.